This 305-nucleotide ribosomal RNA is filed under the name uncultured bacterium. Its description in RNAcentral is "bacterial SSU rRNA". It matches the Rfam family "Bacterial small subunit ribosomal RNA", at positions 333 to 637 of the family's 1533-position model. The record is from RNAcentral.
UUUUGCCUACGGGGCGCAGCAGUGAGGAAUAUUGGUCAAUGGGCGAGAGCCUGAACCAGCCAAGUCGCGUGAGGGAGUACUGCCCUAUGGGUUGUAAACCUCUUUUGUCGGGGAGCAAAAGCCGGACGUGUCCGGCUGUGAGAGUACCCGAAGAAAAAGCAUCGGCUAACUCCGUGCCAGCAGCCGCGGUAAUACGGAGGAUGCGAGCGUUAUCCGGAUUUAUUGGGUUUAAAGGGUGCGCAGGCGGAUUUUUAAGUAAGCGGUGAAAUAGUGGGGCUCAACCCCAUCCAGCCGUUGAAAAUGGG